UAAAGCUGUGUCUACAGGGAGCCAGAGCACCAGCAGCGAGAGGAAUCCCUUGGAAAGGGGACAGGGCUGUCACACCUCUCAAAGGGGGACAAAGUAAACAAUCUCCAUGGCUUCCUGCCAGCCUUUUUUUUUUUUUUCCCCAGUGAUUUUUGGCUUUUCCAUCAGAACAAGACUGAGUUUUGAGGGACAUGAAGUAUGAUCUCCUCCAUAUCCUCCAGAUCUUCACUUCAUCAAACUGGUAGGAGCCUGGGAAAUAGGUGAAGAGGACCUGGGGUAGAGACACAGCCUGGAAAGCACCAAGUGACAUAGGUCUUCGUGCUCUGGGCACACGUCUUUUAAGAAGGCACCCCUGAGGUCACAAGGGGGAGGAGGUGGGGAAGAAGAUCCUCCAUGUCUGCAUCUGUCAGCCAAACACAUCCCAUCAGGCAGAAGACAGAAAACAUGAAAAGAGAAGCAUGUUCCCCAUUUCUCUUUCCACAAAAUCCAUCCAGAAUUCUCUACGUUAAUCAACAGCAUUAAGGAGGCUCUCACCUGCCAGGAAAUGCUGAACUUUGACUUCCAUGAGAAAACAGAAAUCUGAGCGUGUAGAUCUCAUCAUGUGAACACAUCCCAGCACGGACUUGCAUGAGCUCAUUACCUGUUCUCUCUGGAGCAAUGAAGCACAGCUUUCAAAUUGGUUUCCUGCAGUUUUGCCCUUUUUUUUUAGCCAUUUCAGAGUCUCACCCAAAUGGAUAAUAAAAGAAUGUUAUGACUGUGCAUGCAAAUAUAAUUUAAGGUAACAACUUUCUGAGCCUAUGUUUAGUUCAGGUACCGCCAGGGACACUUCUGUUGCCUGGCCAUUUCCCCAUUCUGCUGGAAAAGGUUAAGCUGAAGGGACAAUCACGAUUGCUAGGUUGGAUGGCUGAUGGAAGGGACAAAUAGCUUUGGAUACAUGUCUAGUCUUUUGGACAACUGACGGAUUGAAACCAUUUCAGGGAUAAUCAUUAUCAGCAUAUCAGAAUAAUUAGUCUCAUUUUCCGGUGGAUAACAGCUACUUACUACAGCUCAGCACUUUGUGGCACAAAGCCAUUUUUCUAGCUGUUUAAUGCAACCAGUCAUUGACCCUUCGGGGGUCUGCUCAGAGCUGUUCUGCAGCCCAGGCAAUUGGAUCAAAUGUAACUGCUCUGGACUGAGACCAAGAAAUUCCUCUGUAAGUGCUACAUGGGUGAACCUCUCCAAAAUGGAUUCCAGCGUGAAUACCAAGACCUGGUGCUCAGCUGCUCCAUGAUGUUGAAUGUAUAAACAAUUUAAAAUAACAGAGUGAAUGCUGUCGGCCAUGCUGUCUUUAAAAGCGGUCUUUUGCUGGGACAAAAGUAUUUUGGUUGACAGGGCUGGAGCCUGAGACCCUUAAUGUAUUCUCCAUAUGUAUAGAAUGUAAAGAAGUUGCAUUUCCCUAAAAUGCAGGAACUUCCAGGCUUGGCCUAGAGGGACCAACAUGACCAUAAUUCGGUGUGUCUGUAUCUGCUAGACUAAGAUAGGUUUUACCCCUGCACCUGAAGUGCCAAGGAUUUGUAAAGCACACAGGAAGUCUCAGGGCAUUUCCAGAUUCCACAUUGCUCUCAGAAACACUCAGUUCAUCCGCACCCAGGUAAUUGGGAAGCUAAGACCCUUUACAUAAGAGUUCGGUCACCAUCAUUUAUGUGUUUAUCCUUCAGUGCUGGUUGCUGAAACACAGGCUUUGAAGGGUAAAAAGUGGUAUACUUGGAAAGCCGUGAAUAUUCAUAAAUUGAAACUGGAGUUGUGACCCCAUCUUUUCACCAAGACAUCUAUCUACCCAAGAAAUUGGCUGCCUGCACAAAGGCAGGACGCUCCAAUAUUGACUCUUGAACACCUCAGAGACCAGAACUUGAUUUAUUCCAAGCGCAUCUUCAUGACAGUUAAUUGAAAUGUUUGCUGUACUUAUUAGCAACAAGAAGACAACUCAUGAACAGAGGAAAACAAGUCCUAGUCAUGGUACUCUCUUCCAUGGGUUCCACCAUAUGGAGAAUAUGAGACUUCUUUACGUCUUCCCAACUGGAAGCUUACCAAGAGCCCUGUCUCUCCCUGUCCGCUCUGCAAUCAUUUAGUAGGACUCUCAUUUUCAGAUUAGCUCUCUCUUCACUCUAAGAGCUCAUGAGAGAUAGUGCUACUCCUACCUGUGCUCUAGCAUGCAGACAAAAUUUCUCCAAGCAGGUUGCUUCACUUUCCAUUGACCUCCUUCUAUUGUGUGCUCCUCAAAGGGCUGCUUGAAGAAUCGGUGGAGGCAGAGUUACAAGUCAUCAACACUUUUCCUAGGCAUGUGGCUUUUGCCUCAAACCCUUCAUGUCUUUUGUAAUCUCAUAGUCUUUCAAAGUCUUUGAGCAAAGCUCCUGUUAUAAUGCCAUUACUGUUGUGUUGACUGGCAGCUUGUUGCGGCUCUGCAUUGCUCAUGUGCCCUCUUUCUUAAAGCUUUCCUAUCUUGAGCCAAUUAAUAGAUGAUGCUUUUUCAAAGGCAUCUCAGCCUUGACAUUAACCCUUGUAAGUGGUCCUAACACUGUCUGUAACUAUCUUGAGCUUCACCUCCUGUGUGCUGAGACUGUCAUUAUUUCAUAUGGAGUGGUUUCUUCUGCAAAUUGCUCCCAUGUAUUUGACUAUUUAAUAGUUAUUGGCUGUACACUGAAGGGCUCUUAUAAGUUCUCUAUUGUUCUCCACUGGACUGUGACAAUCUCUACGCUCCAGCUUAUCAGCCUCUGUGAAAUGACACUAUUUCAUAUUACGUUAAUAGGCAUAAAUGCAUGGUUCAAUAUGAAAGACACCCCAAAUUUCGAAGUGUCAGGCUCAGUCUAUUUGAUUAUCUGUAAAAGGCACAGGCAGCUUUGCAAUGGAUUAGACAUAGUGCUCUCCUUUGGAAGCAAAGUCACGAGGGUUACCUAAAAUCUGCUCAGAAAUGGGUGCUCAGAAAAGAAAUAUGGUUAUCCCUUUAGACUACACUAAACAUGCUGCCACAGGAUUCCUAAAAUACUUUAGAUUAUAGUCUUAUCUUAUUUUUCUAUGGAGGAACUUUACAUAUCUCGAACUCAGCAAAUAUAUAGUUUACUUAGAUUAGUUACUCAUUAACAUAACAUCCCUGUUUUCAUUACCAGUAGAGUCAUGUGCUUGAUAUCACACUGAAGUCUGAGAAAGGCUGCAAUUUCAGCAUAGUCAAACAUAAUUGAAAAACAUUGCAUGGUUGUGGUUCACAGUUAUUUGCUUAGUUUAAAUACACUCUGCUAAGUAGA
Molecule: long non-coding RNA, 3275 nt
Organism: Cygnus atratus (black swan)
Lineage: Eukaryota; Metazoa; Chordata; Aves; Anseriformes; Anatidae
Exons: 4
Source: RefSeq, a predicted model, not a curated record